Molecule: long non-coding RNA, 803 nt
Filed under: Phasianus colchicus (ring-necked pheasant)
Lineage: Eukaryota; Metazoa; Chordata; Aves; Galliformes; Phasianidae
Description: lncRNA (ENSPCLG00000005042.1)
Source: RNAcentral
GGAGAACAUAAAAGAGAGAAGGGCGGGGGGAGGGUGUUAGUUACAGCCAUAAGUUUUACAGUUAAUUGGAAACCACAUUAAAUGGCAACAUCAGUUUAUAGAUCAACUCUGCAACUUCUUGGUCGUUAAAGCAGUGGUGGUAGGUUAUUGUGUUGUAGCCUUGUAAAAUAUGGGCACUGUAUUUGCUGGGGGAGAGCUUAAAAAGAACAGUAAAAUCUGCAGUGUCUUUGAUUUCUUGUUUUGCAGUAUGGUACAAUCUGCGUGUGCGUCUUUCUGGGGUGUGAGCAUUUUCAAGGCUCCAUAGGGCAAAUAUGAUGGGUAAUUCUGAUCUAAGGAGUCCUCUGGAGAUAUGGGAUUGACCCUAUGUCGCUCCUUGCCUGCUCCAUCCAAGCAGGAUGCAGCCAGACCACAUCUUAUUUGCAGUGCCUCCAGGAACAGGCCUCUCCAGGGCUUUUGCUGCCUCCACCACCGUCGGUCAACAUCCAGGAAGGAAGACGUUUCUAAGGAAACCACGGAGGCUUUCCACCAAGGUGGUUGCAUGAAAGCGCUGAACUGGUGAGAGUGACAAAAAGCAGUUCAUUGGAUAAUGUAGAAAAAGUAACUGCAUCUGAUAUUGCAACCAGCAGACCAGAAGGCCAUGCCAAGAUCUGCUUAGAGUUCUGGAGUCUUAUCCUGACUUCAGCUUUGAUCCCAUGGUAGUGUCAGAAGGUCUGGAGCAAGCCUGCCAUCAGCAUCCACUUGGAGGAGCCAAUUCAGGAUCUGACUCACCAGCCCAAAUCGAGAUUCCUUGUUUAAUUUGGUCA